CUGAAGUCAGGCCACGUAGUGCCACAGCUUGAGCAAACUGUGCUGCCUGUAGCUCCGCCUAACAAACGGGGGGCGUAAAAAACCCGGGGAGGCCGAGCGCCACGGAAGCUGUACGCGUGGUUUAACGGACUAGAGGUUAGAGGAGACCCCUCCCAUAUUCUCAAAUCGCAGCAACAGGGGGCCCGAAACCGGAAUGAAGCUGUAAUUCCGGUGGAAGGACUAGAGGUUAGAGGAGACCCCCCCAACACAAAAACAGCAUAUUGACGCUGGGAAAGACCAGAGAUCCUGCUGUCUCUACAGCAUCAAUCCAGGCACAGAGCGCCAGAAAAUGGAUUGGUGGUGUUGAUCCAACAGGUUCU
This 359-nucleotide long non-coding RNA is filed under the name dengue virus type 4. Its description in RNAcentral is "Dengue virus 4 sfRNA2". The stretch from base 177 to 249 matches the Rfam family "Flavivirus DB element". The record is from RNAcentral. Lineage: Riboviria; Orthornavirae; Kitrinoviricota; Flasuviricetes; Amarillovirales; Flaviviridae.